This 421-nucleotide ribosomal RNA is filed under the name uncultured bacterium. Its description in RNAcentral is "bacterial SSU rRNA". It matches the Rfam family "Bacterial small subunit ribosomal RNA", at positions 355 to 774 of the family's 1533-position model. The record is from RNAcentral.
UAAGGAAUAUUGGUCAAUGGACGCAAGUCUGAACCAGCCAUGCCGCGUGAAGGAUGAAGGUCCUCUGGAUUGUAAACUUCUUUUAUCUGGGACGAAAACGGGAUUUUUAUCUCAAUUGACGGUACCAGAGGAAUAAGCACCGGCUAACUCCGUGCCAGCAGCCGCGGUAAUACGGAGGGUGCGAGCGUUAUCCGGAUUUACUGGGUUUAAAGGGUGCGUAGGUGGGCUUAUAAGUCAGUGGUGAAAUCUCCGAGCUUAACUUGGAAACUGCCGUUGAUACUAUAGGUCUUGAAUUAUCUGGAGGUAAGCGGAAUAUGUCAUGUAGCGGUGAAAUACUUAGAUAUGACAUAGAACACCAAUUGCGAAGGCAGCUUACUACAUAUAAAUUGACGCUGAGGCACGAAAGCGUGGGGAUCAAACA